Molecule: long non-coding RNA, 5940 nt
Organism: Vespa velutina
Lineage: Eukaryota; Metazoa; Arthropoda; Insecta; Hymenoptera; Vespidae
Exons: 4
Source: RefSeq, a predicted model, not a curated record
GAGAGAGAGAAAGAGAGAGAGAGAGAGAGAGAGAGAUGGAGUAGAAACGAAGAGGGGAGAAGGAAGGAGACUACUGCCGAGGUCGCUCGGAAAGGUCCGAACGAGCAUCACCACUGCCGCCUACACACGUAAAUGAAGAUACCUAGGUAUUCCCUCUGUGUGUUUACACGCAACCUCGCACCAGUCCAACUCCUCGAGAUAAUUGUGUCGCUAAGAACGAUCGAUCUCAACAUCAUCAAUAAAUAAAAAUGUAUUUCCAUUGUUGUCCCAUCAAUCAUCUCGCAUCGAUUACUAUCUUGUCUAUCUACUAUAUACUCAUAUACUCUCUCGAACAAAUCCUCACUGUUCGUCUGUCUAUCUGUGUUCGUUCGUUCAAUCGAACAUUAGAAGAUGUGAGGAAAAUUGAGAAAUUCGUUUUAUAGUUAAGAACAUCUAUAAAUUUGAGAAUAGUGAGUGAUCAUGCAUUACUUUAUCCAGAUAAUUGACCAGGAAGUUAACCGAUAAUAGUUCGAAUUUUUUAAAAAUUGCAAUCGGCGCAGAUCAACAUUUCCUUGAGGAUUUAUUUCUAAGAAGCCAUUUGUUAUCAUUUAUACGUGUAUACACGUGUAGAGGUUAUAAAUUCAAGAUUUCGUCUCAAGGGAUAUUCAUUUUCUUCGCAUCAAGGGCGUGGUAAGGGGAACGAGCGAAGAGCAUAAAGAUGAAGAGGAUCGUCGUAAACGUCGCGUUCUUCCCUCGCCCUCCUCGUCUCUCUUCAUCCACCACUCUUUACCCCCUCAGUCGCCCUCUGGCACCAUCGUAAAGACUUCUAUCUUGGUUGGUCUCCGCGUCGUAAUAUCUUGUAACAUCAGCUUCUUCUAUGCAGAUAUACAACACAACGAGUGUAAGAGCCAUCAUCGACAUCAUGAUUUUAUUACCAACACUUCCUGUAUCCGUCAUGAUAAUUUUGCGGCCAUCAGAAAAAGAAGAUACAACGAAGAGGAUUAUCAAGACUGAAAUUUGAUCCACGUUGAACAUAAUAAUAAUAAGAAGAAGAAGAAGAAAAAAUAAAAAAAAAUAUUCUUGAUCGUGAUGACUACUUGGCUACCAGUUUGAAGUAGCGAAAGAAAAAGAAAAGAAAAAGAAAAAAAGACAAAGAGAAAAAAGAAGAAAAAAAAAUCGUACAAAAGUACUUUACCGAGGUGAUCGUUAUCAUCUCGUUACUUCCUUAACGUAUAUCGUUUUAACCCUUUUUCGAAAUGUCACAACGACGAUGUUACGACUUUUUAGAAGAUACGUAGAUUGUAAGAAAAGUAAGUACAAACGACGUUUCUCCUAUUCGCUCGCAUUCGUAUUCAUUGGAUACUGGUAACUAUAAUGGUAUGAGCACGCCUUGCCACGAAUACACGCGUUCUGGAUUUUCAACAAACAGGUGCGUGGACACUUCGGGAGGAUAUAAAUCCAGAUGGAAACAUGUUCCAAGGUGGAAAGGUUGUCCUUUGGCGCGAUGAGUGUACCAAGAUAGGCCAAAGAAACAUGUCCGACGUAAUCUCUGACAAACACCUGUGUAAACACCAAAAACUCGAUGUUAUUUUUUCAAGAGAUGUUUAGAAUGAAUGCAAUAACGUGGGCCAUGCACGACCUACGAGGCCUGAACGAAAACCCACGUGAAAGUACCCGGUCAUUCAAUGUGUUAAUACUCAAAACAUGUUAAUCAUUCCACGAGGAGAAAGAAUUAUUAUACGUUAGGUGGUCGAUCACCUCGAAGUGUCGAGAAAUCGUUUAACCGGCAUGGUUUAUUACUUCGAGAGAACGUAAAUCUUCGUUUAACAAUGAGAGAAAUGACUGCUAUGAAAUGAAGCCGCGCGUAUUAUGUUUACCUCUCGUUGAUCUUUUAUUGGUCUUCGAAUGGACUUCUUUCAAUGAGUUUUGUUUAAAUAAUUUUAUGAAGAUAUGAUUUAUAAUGAUUUUUGACGUUUCUAUUAGACGAAUGAAAUCGUUUCGUUGUUUCAUUUGUAGAAACAAUUUGUAGAAACAAUUUAGAAGAAAAAGAGAGAGAGAGAGAGAGAGAGAGAGAGAGAGAGAAAAGAAAGAAAAAGAAUUGAUCAUUCAAUAGAGAAAGUAAACUAAAUGUGAUUAGAAAAAAAAAGAAAUGUAAUAAGAAAAGAAUUUGCGACGUUUUAAUAUUAAUUUAUUAUUAAUAUUCUUUUAUUAUUAAUAUUAAUAUUCUGUUCUCUUCGUUUCUUUGAACGUUAACAAAUAAAGGAAGUAAUAAAAAUUAUUAUUUUGCAUUUGUAUUUUCAUAGAUCGCAAAACUUUUUUGAAUAUCAUCGAUAAAUCAGAUUAGAAUCGGUUGUUUAUACAAUUUUGUCGAAUGUGUUUUUUUUUUUGUCGAUUCUUCUUCGUAAACUCGUGUGUGGUGUUACCUUUCGAUUCGGCGACAACGUUCACGCGAUUAUUAAUUAUCUUUGUUUCGCUAUAUAGAUCAUGAUUUAUCGCUAAAUAAUUUUUCUUUUACAUCGGUGAUAAUAGUAAUCCAUCCGAAUGAAAUCGUUAUCUAUCACAUGAGCGAUGAAUUACAAGAAAAAUGUCAACAGAAAGAGAGAAAGAAAAAGAAAAAAAAAAGAAAAAAAAAAAAGAAAAAUUUAAUGGCCGAAGAUAUUUAAAUAAAUAGAAAAUUUAUAUCAGUGCAUUAUCUCAGUGCAUUAUCUCUUCCCAGUCGUACAUAUCCAUGUACGCAUAUAUACAUACAUAUAUAUAUAUAUAUAUACAAACAUAUAUAUAUAUAUAUUCUUACUUAUCUCUCCUUUGUAAAAGCAACACCGUUAGAAAAUAUAAAAAGAUGUCUCGUUAUCUCGAGGAUGGGCUAAUAAAAAGAAUAUAGAGUGAGGCGUGGAGAAGAGAUGACUAUGUUACAUCUUAGCGCGGUACAAUAAGCUGACAGCGGCUCACGAAACUCAAAGGGACUCACCGACCAUUUUGCCCUUUACGAGCUAAUCGACCUAUCUGACUUAUUCGACAUAGCUGUUUCGGGCGACGAUACAAGCGGCUUUUUAUUUUAUCAUCAAAGAGCUUUCUUCUUUUGGGUGUACGGCAGGGGGGAAAAUGGCGACGAUGAGGUGGACAUUAUCGUUGGAACUAAGUGAAUAGCUUACAUACUAUAUGAAUCACAUUAGACCAUCAGAUUUAUCUAAUUAUAAAAUAUAAUUAUUUUUGGUUAGGGUCAAUCAAUGUUCCUUUGUCACGUUUUACUUCGAUUAGCAAUAUUUCGAAUAAAAUCAGCAGGUUUAUCAAAUAAAUAUAUUAUUUACUAAUUGGUUAUAAAAAUUUCUUUUUUUUUUUUCUUUUCUUUUUUAAGGAUUAACAUGCGUAUAAAAGAUAUGUAUGGUUUAGCAGAUAGAAAUAAUUUAUUCAACACUUGUCAGUGUCGAGACUUUUUAUUUUUGAUUUAUAAAAAGUUAUAAAAAAGAUAUCAGAAAAUAUAAGGAUGAUCAGAUGUUGCGUUCGUUAUUUUUAUAUUUCUUUUUUCUCUUCUUCUUCUUCUUCUUUUUUUUCUAUUCAACUUUUCUUUUGUAAUAGAUCAAAGCGGUAAAUCGACAAAAGCCGUUUGACACUGAGAUGCCGACGACGGCGUCAUGGCGGUCAAGAACACCGCUACUUUUUCUUUUCUUAUCUUUUCUUUCAUCCGAUCGAGCGCAGCCACGUGGUGUGCGUUUCUUUCUCUUUUCUCUUUUUGUUAAAACGAACGAUUAAACUUUACGACACCCAUUACAAGUCCAUUUCGUCGAGUGUCAUGACGCGUUUAAGGGUAUUGUAAUCUCUUUGUUCAAGUAUAAUAUUAUAAAGUGAUAGUUACAAUAAGAAUAAAAGAUAUUGAUAUUAGUCGUAAUGUUGCACGAGGUUCAGAAAUUUAGUUUAUACUAAAAUAAGAUACCUAACGUUCUGAAUGAAACGAUAAAUUUUCUUUUACCAGAGAACAUUUUAGGUUUUAUGGGGAAUCAAAGCUGAUGCAUGAUCGUAAACAAUUUCCCGUUUAUUUAUUGAUCGUUGAAACCUCAGGGAAGAAAGUGCAUAGAUGCGUAUUUCGUAACAGUUUAGUGAAACCAAUGAUGAUCUUGGCGCAAAAAAAAAAAGAGAAAAUAAAGAAAAAUAAAAACAUUUUAUUUAAAACAAUUUUAAAGAGCACAAAUGUUCCUUCCAUGGGAGACUCCGAUUGAUUUUACUUUUAUAUUUCGACAUUUUAAUUUUACGAGGGAAUUUCCGAGGGAUUUAUUUCUAUUUCAGACGUAAUUCAUAGCCACGCAAUAUCAUUAAAGAACCUAAAUUGGAUCUAAACGAUGCAAUUGUUAUUUUCUCACGGUCUAUAAAUAUAGGUAUACGAUCUUCUCGCAUAAACGUGUGGGAUAAAAAAAAAAAAAAAAGAAAAAAAAAAGAUUUUUCCCCAUAAAAAUAGAUCUUCAUACAAAUUUCGUAAAUGAUAUUUUGGAAAAAAGAAAAUAGAAAAUAAAAACGAUAUCGCGUAGAAUCGCAAAAGAAAAUAGCUGGAACACGUAGAAAGCGCAAACAUUCAUUGUACUCGAAAUCCAGAUAGAAGUAAAAACCAAUAAACGUGGACUCGAAUUGUCGAGACAAAGGAUCGUAAAAUUUAAUUACCCAUUGAGCACCGCGGUAGUCGAUGAAGUUGGUCGAUAGUAGUAGAGAAGUGUAUAUAUAUAUAUAUAUAUAUAUAAAUAAAAAAAAAUAAAAAUAUACAAAUCAAAACAAAAUAAAAAAAAAAAAAUAGUUGGAUAGAUCGGUCUGGUCCGAAGUUGGCCGCAUCUUGAUCGACCAUAGAAGAAGGCAACGUUGUAAAGCCUCUUAUCCUUUAUGUCGAGGAUUCCUUAUUUUAAUUUCUUCCUAGGAGCUCUUGCGUUUUACAGCUCAAUGAUUUUGCGAUCGCGUAUCUCUACGCGAAAGCAUGAUCGCAUCGCUCGACUCGAAGCUUACUAUACUCUUUCAAUCGUACGUAUAUAUGUAUAUAUGAAUAUAAGUAUAUACGUAUAUACAUAUGUACGUUCGAAUCGCUCGAUAUGUAUCGUCACUUUCGUAUUAUUUAUUAACUUUCUCCAUUAAAAUCCAUCCAACAUAAAAUGCGAGCAUGAAAAAAUAUAAGAAAAGAAGGGGGAAAAGAAAAAAAGAAAAAGAAAUAAGUAUAUAUACACAUCUAUUCUCGAUUAUUAUAUUCGAAGAAAGAAACUUUUUUAUUUUUAUUUUUAUUUUCUUCUUUUUUUUUUUUUUCACUUUUUACUUUCACAAAAUAUCCAAAUUUCGAAAGGAACAGAAAGAGAAAGAGAGAGAGAGAGAGAGAGAGAAAGAGAGAGAGAGGCAGACUCGAAAGUAGAUUCGUGCAAUAGAGAAAUCCGAAUUAAACUUGAAUAUACCAUACGUAAGUACAUGAGUAAGUACAUAAGAUUCGCGAUUAUCUCUCGGAAAAGAGGGAGAGAAAGAAUAUAUAUAGAGAGAGAGAGAGAGAGAGAGAGAGAGAGAGAGAAAGAGAGAGAGAGAGAAACAGAGACAGAGAGAGAGAGAGACACUAUAAGUCAUGUUGGACUUGGUAGGCUAACGUUUGAAUAAAAAAAAAGUAAAGAAAAGAAAAGAAAAGAAAAAAGAACAGAAAAAGAAAAGAAGAAUCAUAUACGAAAGAUAUUCCUCUCUCUGUCGGAGGAUUCAUUGCGGUCGUUAAUUGUUUCACCCGGCAUUAGCAUAUAAAUGUAACCACCAUGCCGAUAUGAUCGUUAAACGCAAGAAGACACAUUGGACGUGAACGUCUCGAUUCAACUGUGCGUCCUUCGACUGGACUCCUCCUUGCUUAACCGAGAAACGACUAAGUAUCCUCUGGUUAUAUUAAUUAACUUUUCGACGGUAUAAUGAUUCGCGUGCGCUCGUUCAUUCAACGGAGAAGAAAAAUCGACCGCCAGCCUAUAA